CAGAUAACAUUUUCUCAUAAGUGAGAGUCUCAUUUGGAAGUCACAUGCCAUGGAAAAUACCUAAUUAGCCAAUUAAGUGCAGUGGCACAUGAAAAAUCCACUUUUACAACUUUGGGAGGAGGUUGAAAGUGAGUCAUCAAGCUGGGUGUGAGUCAUCAGGCUUGGGAGACUGAGGCAGGAGUAUCAUGUGGACACUGUAUAAUGGUAAAUAGGAAGUUUCUGACAAAAGAAGAAGACUCGGGAGGUGACAAGUAUGACCUGCCAAACAGAAAAGGAAAGCCAGACACGUGCUGUCAGUGUGAGACUUGUUUAUGGAACAUGCUGUUGUCAUGUGUGAAGAAGCAUGCUGCCAUGCUCUAGGUGAGAUACCUAAAGCAAAGAUUAUUUCUGCAGUAGAAUUUUAUUUGUAUUUUCAUUGUGGUUCACACGGGAAUUUAUCUGUGGUGUUGCUUUUUAGAUUGUGUAAGCAGGUAAACAGUUGAUACUGAAAAUGUUGAUGCU
Molecule: long non-coding RNA, 501 nt
Organism: Cavia porcellus (domestic guinea pig)
Lineage: Eukaryota; Metazoa; Chordata; Mammalia; Rodentia; Caviidae
Exons: 3
Source: RefSeq, a predicted model, not a curated record